This 344-nucleotide ribosomal RNA is filed under the name uncultured eukaryote. RNAcentral's name for it is "SSU rRNA". It matches the Rfam family "Eukaryotic small subunit ribosomal RNA", at positions 567 to 926 of the family's 1831-position model. The record is from RNAcentral.
CCAGCAGCCGCGGUAAUUCCAGCUCCAAUAGCGUAUAUUAAAGUUGUUGCAGUUAAAAAGCUCGUAGUUGAACUGUUGAUGUGAGUGCGAUAGCUUUCGGGAUGAAUGUCUCGAGAUGGCGUGUUGUGCUUGUGUCAUACUUUGCUUUCAUUUUAUUGUGGAGGCAAUCGUUUACUGUAAAAAAAUUAGAGUGUUCCAAGCAGGAUGUAUGUCCGGAAUAUAGUAGUAUGGAAUAAUAAGAUAGGACUUUGGUACUAUUUUGUUGGUUUGUAUACCAAGGUAAUGAUUAAUAGGGACAGUUGGGGGUAUUCGUAUUUAGAUGUCAGAGGUGAAAUUCUUGGAUU